Molecule: ribosomal RNA, 498 nt
Filed under: uncultured bacterium
Lineage: Bacteria
Description: partial 16S ribosomal RNA
Rfam family: Bacterial small subunit ribosomal RNA
Source: RNAcentral
AUUGAACGCUGGCGGCAUGCCUUACACAUGCAAGUCGAACGGUAACAGGUCUUCGGAUGCUGACGAGUGGCGAACGGGUGAGUAAUACAUCGGAACGUGCCUAGUAGUGGGGGAUGACUACUCGAAAGAGUGGCUAAUACCGCAUGAGAUCUACGGAUGAAAGCAGGGGAUCGCAAGACCUUGUGCUACUAGAGCGGCCGAUGGCAGAUUAGGUAGUUGGUGGGAUAGAAGCUUACCAAGCCGACGAUCUGUAGCUGGUCUGAGAGGACGAUAGGCCAACAUGGGACUGAGAAACGGCCCAGACUCCUACGGGAGGCAGCAGUGGGGAAUUUUGGACAAUGGGCGAAAGCCUGAUCCAGCAAUGCCGCGUGCAGGAUGAAGGCCUUCGGGUUGUAAACUGCUUUUGUACGGAACGAAAAGCCCCGGGUUAAUACCCUGGGGUCAUGACGGUACCGUAAGAAUAAGCACCGGCUAACUACGUGCCAGCCGCCGCCGUAA